GUACUUCCGCAGUCCUAACAACUAUUUAACCUUUUUCAUUUAACCAGGUUAACCUUUUUCAUUUAACCAGGUUAACCUUUUUCAUUUAACCAGGUUAACCUUUUAAUUUAACCUUUUAAUUUAACCAGGUUAACCUUUUAAUUUAACCAGGUUAACCUUUUAAUUUAACCAGGUUAACCUUUUAAUUUAACCAGGUUAACCUUUUAAUUUAACCUUUGUAGUUUAACCAGGUUAACUUUUUCAAUUAACCAGGUUAACCUGUUUAAUCUAACCAGGUUAACCUUUUCAUUUAACCAGGUUGUCCCAUUUUGACUUAAAACAAUCAUGAUAUUGAGGUCAAUAUCAGUGGGCUGUUAUAUUUUAAUACAGAUACUGUCGUUCGUAGCUUCACUUUUCUGUUCGAGACAACGCCGGUCCUUAUCAUUCAACAAACACACAGUGCACUGGUUCCUCUCUAUGUUUAUAAUCUCCACCCUUCAUAGCCUGGUUCCUCCUCUAGGUUUAUAAUCUCCACCCCUCAUAGCCUGGUUCCUCUCUAGGUUUAUAAUCUCCACCCCUCAUAGCCUGGUUCCUCUCUAGGUUUAUAAUCUCCACCCCUCAUAGCCUGGGUCCUCUCUAGGUUUAUGAUCUCCACCCCUCAUAGCCUGGUUCCUCUCUAGGUUUAUAAUCUCCACCCCUCAUAGCCUGGUUCCUCUCUAGGUUUAUAAUCUCCACCCCUCAUAGCCUGGGUCCUCUCUAGGUUUAUAAUCUCCACCCCUCAUAGCCUGGUUCCUCCUCUAGGUUUAUAAUCUCCACCCCUCAUAGCCUGGUUCCUCUCUAGGUUUAUAAUCUCCACCCCUCAGAGCCUGGUUCCUCUCUAGGUUUAUAAUCUCCACCCCUCAUAGCCUGGUUCCUCUCUAGGUUUAUAAUCUCCACCCCUCAUAGCCUGGUUCCUCCUCUAGGUUUAUAAUCUCCACCCCUCAUAGCCUGGUUCCUCUCUAGGUUUAUAAUCUCCACCCCUCAUAGCCUGGUUCCUCCUCUAGGUUUAUAAUCUCCACCCCUCAUAGCCUGGUUCCUCCUCUCGGUUUAUAAUCUCCACCCCUCAUAGCCUGCUUCCUCUCUAGGUUUAUAAUCUCCACCCCUCAUAGCCUGGUUCCUCUCUAGGUUUAUAAUCUCCACCCCUCAUAGCCUGGUUCCUCCUCUAGGUUUAUAAUCUCCACCCCUCAUAGCCUGGUUCCUCCUCUAGGUUUAUAAUCUCCACCCCUCAUAGCCUGGUUCCUCUCUAGGUUUAUAAUCUCCACCCCUCAUAGCCUGGUUCCUCUCUAGGUUUAUAAUCUCCACCCCUCAUAGCCUGGUUCCUCCUCUAGGUUUAUAAUCUCCACCCCUCAGAGCCUGGUUCCUCCUCUAGGUUUAUAAUCUCCACCCCUCAGAGCCUGGUUCCUCCUCUAGGUUUAUAAUCUCCACCCCUCAUAGCCUGGUUCCUCUCUAGGUUUAUAAUCUCCACCCCUCAUAGCCUGGUUCCUCCUCUAGGUUUAUAAUCUCCACCCCUCAUAGCCUGGUUCCUCCUCUAGGUUUAUAAUCUCCACCCCUCAUAGCCUGGUUCCUCUCUAGGUUUAUAAUCUCCACCCCUCAUAGCCUGGUUCCUCUCUAGGUUUAUAAUCUCCACCCCUCAUAGCCUGGUUCCUCUCUAGGUUUAUAAUCUCCACCCCUCAUAGCCUGGUUCCUCUCUAGGUUUAUAAUCUCCACCCCUCAUAGCCUGGUUCCUCUCUAGGUUUAUAAUCUCCACCCCUCAUAGCCUGGUUCCUCUCUAGGUUUAUAAUCUCCACCCCUCAUAGCCUGGUUCCUCUCUAGGUUUAUAAUCUCCACCCCUCAUAGCCUGGUUCCUCUCUAGGUUUAUAAUCUCCACCCCUCAUAGCCUGGUUCCUCUCUAGGUUUAUAAUCUCCACCCCUCAUAGCCUGGUUCCUCUCUAGGUUUAUAAUCUCCACCCCUCAUAGCCUGGUUCCUCUCUAGGUUUAUAAUCUCCACCCCUCAUAGCCUGGUUCCUCUCUAGGUUUAUAAUCUCCACCCCUCAUAGCCUGGUUCCUCUCUAGGUUUAUAAUCUCCACCCCUCAUAGCCUGGUUCCUCUCUAGGUUUAUAAUCUCCACCCCUCAUAGCCUGGUUCCUCUCUAGGUUUAUAAUCUCCACCCCUCAUAGCCUGCUUCCUCUCUAGGUUUAUAAUCUCCACCCCUCAUAGCCUGCUUCCUCUCUAGGUUUAUAAUCUCCACCCCUCAUAGCCUGGUUCCUCUCUAGGUUUAUAAUCUCCACCCCUCAUAGCCUGGGUCCUCUCUAGGUUUAUAAUCUCCACCCCUCAUAGCCUGGUUCCUCUCUAGGUUUAUAAUCUCCACCCCUCAUAGCCUGGUUCCUCUCUAGGUUUAUAAUCUCCACCCCUCAUAGCCUGGUUCCUCUCUAGGUUUAUAAUCUCCACCCCUCAUAGCCUGCCUGG
Molecule: long non-coding RNA, 2463 nt
Organism: Oncorhynchus keta (chum salmon)
Lineage: Eukaryota; Metazoa; Chordata; Actinopteri; Salmoniformes; Salmonidae
Exons: 4
Source: RefSeq, a predicted model, not a curated record